RNAcentral lists this long non-coding RNA (369 nucleotides) under Mustela putorius furo (domestic ferret). Its description in RNAcentral is "lncRNA (ENSMPUG00000030953.1)". The record is from RNAcentral. Lineage: Eukaryota; Metazoa; Chordata; Mammalia; Carnivora; Mustelidae.
GCAGGUUGCAAGUCAGGUUGGAGUGGCGGCUCAGUUGGGUUCCAGCAAGGGCCCUCUUCCUGGUUUACAGACAGCAGCCUUCUUACUUAUACAGGAUUUAGUUCCACCAAAGUCGUUGAUACCAUCAGGAUCAUCAGUGACCCGGGUCAGGGACGUGCUGCUGGCUCUCCAUUACAUUCCAGAGACACUCUAGGGGCUGUGGCAACAAAGGGACUGUGACUGUGGCUGAAAACAAAAUAGGACCCAACCUUGGCCUUGGCGAUCCAACCAGAGUGAGUUCCUAGGACCUUGAUAUACCACCUCAGGGGGAUUCUCCUUGCUCUUCCGCCGAGUGGAAAAUAAGAAACUUUCUGGUCACGGAGGGUCUUC